UAGCUUGCUACCUGACCUAGCGGCGGACGGGUGAGUAAUGCUUAGGAAUCUGCCUAUUAGUGGGGGACAACAUUCCGAAAGGAAUGCUAAUACCGCAUACGCCCUACGGGGGAAAGCAGGGGAUCUUCGGACCUUGCGCUAAUAGAUGAGCCUAAGUCAGAUUAGCUAGUUGGUGGGGUAAAGGCCUACCAAGGCGACGAUCUGUAGCGGGUCUGAGAAGAUGAUCCGCCACACUGGGACUGAGACACGGCCCAGACUCCUACGGGAGGCAGCAGUGGGGAAUAUUGGACAAUGGGCGAAAGCCUGAUCCAGCCAUGCCGCGUGUGUGAAGAAGGCCUUUUGGUUGUAAAGCACUUUAAGCGAGGAGGAGGCUACUUGGAUUAAUACUCUAGGAUAGUGGACGUUACUCGCAGAAUAAGCACCGGCUAACUCUGUGCCAGCAGCCGCGGUAAUACAGAGGGUGCGAGCGUUAAUCGGAUUUACUGGGCGUAAAGCGUGCGUAGGCGGCUUUUUAAGUCGGAUGUGAAAUCCCUGAGCUUAACUUAGGAAUUGCAUUCGAUACUGGGAAGCUAGAGUAUGGGAGAGGAUGGUAGAAUUCCAGGUGUAGCGGUGAAAUGCGUAGAGAUCUGGAGGAAUACCGAUGGCGAAGGCAGCCAUCUGGCCUAAUACUGACGCUGAGGUACGAAAGCAUGGGGAGCAAACAGGAUUAGAUACCCUGGUAGUCCAUGCCGUAAACGAUGUCUACUAGCCGUUGGGGCCUUUGAGGCUUUAGUGGCGCAGCUAACGCGAUAAGUAGACCGCCUGGGGAGUACGGUCGCAAGACUAAACUCAAAUGAAUUGACGGGGGCCCGCACAAGCGGUGGAGCAUGUGGUUUAAUUCGAUGCAACGCGAAGAACCUUACCUGGUCUUGACAUAGUAAGAACUUUCCAGAGAUGGAUUGGUGCCUUCGGGAACUUACAUACAGGUGCUGCAUGGCUGUCGUCAGCUCGUGUCGUGAGAUGUUGGGUUAAGUCCCGCAACGAGCGCAACCCUUUUCCUUAUUUGCCAGCGGGUUAAGCCGGGAACUUUAAGGAUACUGCCAGUGACAAACUGGAGGAAGGCGGGGACGACGUCAAGUCAUCAUGGCCCUUACGACCAGGGCUACACACGUGCUACAAUGGUCGGUACAAAGGGUUGCUACCUAGCGAUAGGAUGCUAAUCUCAAAAAGCCGAUCGUAGUCCGGAUUGGAGUCUGCAACUCGACUCCAUGAAGUCG
This 1256-nucleotide ribosomal RNA is filed under the name uncultured Acinetobacter sp. Its description in RNAcentral is "bacterial SSU rRNA". It matches the Rfam family "Bacterial small subunit ribosomal RNA", at positions 76 to 1328 of the family's 1533-position model. Lineage: Bacteria; Pseudomonadati; Pseudomonadota; Gammaproteobacteria; Moraxellales; Moraxellaceae. The record is from RNAcentral.